ACUUGUGACAGCCACAUGCCGGGUCUUUUCACUUCUCACCAAAGUUUUCAUCCACCUAAAAUUUGUUUUUUUUUCAUUUUUCCUUCUUCUUACUUUAGAUCGACGAGAUUGAAAGAGUUGGGGCUUAAUUAGGGAUCUAGAUGGCCUGUGAAUUCCCUUGAUUAGCUUGAUUCAAAAUAUCUUUAAUCUCCAAUCAUCACUGGCAACACCUUAGGUUUUUCUUUUUUUAAUCUUCUUCCACUUUCAUUAAAAUUGGGGCAUGAUUUGAUGAUGAAGAUGAGGAAGGUCUUCUGCCAACGGCAAUGCUUAAAGGAAGGUAGCAGAUUUGGCUAAUUAUAAAUUUGUGGUGCUGCAGGAAGAAAUCAUGCUGCUCAUCCUAAAUAAAUACCAUAUUUUGGUUUGCUAUACAUGUUCCUAAGGUUUGUUUCUUCAUCCAUGAUCUGAUUCUAAUGACUAAUUUGGGUUGUUUGAUAUACAUGUUCCUAAAGCUACUGAAUGAAAAGUUUGAGUUUAAGCUAUCCACAAUAUGACCAACCAUUCCAUCUUAAAUGUGGGCAGAGGGAUAAGAGAUAAUGCUGCUAUUCUUCCUACUUAUUUGGAAAUUUGGAAAGUGCAGAUACAAGGAUCCGUUCUCCCAUCCUAGAGGCUCAAUUUAGUAUUGGGUUCUGGACUUCCAAUUAGCAUUUGUUCUCUAGCUUCGACAUUCCCACGAACUUCCACUUCAGUAAUGCAGUUAUCCCCAGACUUGGACAUCGAUUUUUGUUGCUGUUGCUAUCCUGGAUGACUAGGAACUGCCUGGGUAGCACUAACAGACAUCGUGGCACUGCUGGUACUGGCUGUUGUGGUAACACUGGAGGACGUUGAGGCAGUAGUUCCCAGUGUUAGAUCGGUGUUGAUACUACCAUCAGUGUCGUUGUCCCCACUAUUGGACGCUGAUACUAGUUGCUGUUGAUGUCCUUGAUGAGGAACUGCUGGGUUGAUGAUACUAAAGAACAUCGUGGCAGUGCUUGUACCAGCUGUUGUGGUGACAUUGGAGGACGUUGAGGCAGUGGUUCCUAAUAUCAGUUUGGUGUUAGCAUUAUGAGCAGUAUCAUUACGAAACAGAGGUUGUGGUCUACUGUCACUCUGAUUACCAAGAUAUCUAAGACUUUUUUCUCCUUCAACAGUUGAUUGUGUAUUGAGGCCUUCAGUAAUGACUUCUUCUCUUAACAGAACGUCAUCUCCUCCAACACUUGCAGCUGCGUCUUUGUAAAAUUUGCUGUCAUAGAGAUGACAGAGAACCCAGUCGUCGUCUUUAUUCAUCAUACUGGUCUCAUCAUUACCUUGAUUUAGCACGAAUUCUUUCAUGAGCCAUUCGGUUUUAUCUCCGGUCUUCUUACUCUUACCGUUGUAGAAUGUAAAACUGUUCUUGUAGGCGAUUACCGUACCGGGGAGUCCCUCUAUGGGCUUAGUUCCAGAGUUCUGCCACACUCCGCUGUUUCCUCCAACAGUACGUUUUGUUCGAGUGCCUUUUUCACUCACUUUCUGGGUUGGGGUAAAAUAAAAAGCGUGUCUCUCUGGGUUCCUUUCUGCAGGAAAUAUUCAUCCACAUGCAUUUAGUGAUUCAGGCAGGUACCAUAUCUCAGAAUAAGGUCCAGAAUAAACAAAGACUGGGAAAAAAAAAAAAAAGGUAGACAGGAUGUGGUUACCUAAGAGUUCUUGAGGGUGAAAUGCAUAAAUGUCAGCCUCGGUGAUUUCAGGAGCCCUAAAGUGUGGGUUAGCAACCUUUGGUAUUAAGUACUUCAGCACCAAUUCUAGUCCGUUGGCUGAAACCUGUAGCCGUAUGGAAGUCCAGUACGGUGAUUUAUCUGAGGCCUACGGUGACAUAGGAUUGAAUUUCAAGAAACAGAAAAUAGAAGCAAGAACAACAUCAGAAAGAUUUGAACGAAGGAGAGAAAGAAAAUGAUACUAACUACUAAGACAGAGACAUAAGACAUUGUACCUAAUCAUUGAAGUUUGUUGUUCAGUUCUUGGCGAUGGAUCAAUGGAAGGAGUGAUUCUUGAUGGGUAUCUGAUAAGGAGAAAACCCUUUCGUCAGACAUGAAUGUACAGAGAGAGAAAUAAAUAGAGAAGGAGAAAAUAAGAAACAAGUAAUGAACAAUGAAGUUAUGAUCAGCAACUUACAGUGUUGUUUCAGGUUGAGAAUUCUCCUCAUCUGAUAUCUUUCGUUUUCCCGUAAUUCUCCGUAAAUCUGAAUCCUCGUUGUUGUCUUUCAUAUUUUAGACUUUGAGGUGAUCUUGCUAAACAGUAAUAGCAGUCUUUGUUUUGUUUUAAUUUCUCUGGUUUGAAUCUUCUAGUUCCUGGAACAGUAAUGGUGGUGCUUCUUUUUUAGUUUUUUGAUCUCUUCCAAUUGUUUUGCGGUAUUUUAUAUACGGGUCUGAUGUUAUUGCUUUUGA
Papaver somniferum (opium poppy) is the source of this 2435-nucleotide long non-coding RNA. RefSeq lists it as uncharacterized. The record is from RefSeq and is a predicted model, not a curated record. The transcript is spliced from 3 exons. Lineage: Eukaryota; Viridiplantae; Streptophyta; Magnoliopsida; Ranunculales; Papaveraceae.